Molecule: transfer RNA, 74 nt
Filed under: Caudoviricetes sp.
Lineage: Duplodnaviria; Heunggongvirae; Uroviricota; Caudoviricetes
Description: tRNA-OTHER
Source: RNAcentral
CGGAAUGUAGCUUAAUUGGUAAAGCGCGCAGCCAGGAAUGGCAGCGGAUCCCGGUUCGAGGCCGGCCGUUCUGA